Phascolarctos cinereus (koala) is the source of this 1667-nucleotide long non-coding RNA. Lineage: Eukaryota; Metazoa; Chordata; Mammalia; Diprotodontia; Phascolarctidae. The record is from Ensembl.
GCGAGUUUCUGCUUAAGCUUUGCUGCAAAAACUAAAAGCAUCAGGAAUCACACGCAAUUUUAUUUUUUCAAACGUUGAAGCAGUAAAUUUGCUCAUUGUUAAAGAACAUAUUUAUUGACGUUCACCCUACCCCCCAAAACGAUCAAAAUCUUCUGACUAAACCUUUAAUAAAAUCUUAGACAGUACAGGAAGACACCACCCCACGCUAGACAGACCACUAAACGUACUGCCUUCAAGUAUAAUGAAUCACGGGUGUCUACUGAUAAAAACCAUCAAAAGAGUCAUCCGUUUCAGCUUUUUCCUCACAGCUCUGCAAAGUACACAAAAGAUGUUUCUCCAAAGCAGCCCCAUUCACAGUACUCCAAAGGCAAAAAGAGUUCAAAAAGUAAAAAAAGAAGAAACUAGAACAAGGCAACUGUGAAGGGGCGGAAGAGGAGAGGGGAGGGAAAAAAAAACAGGACGUGAAACAAACUUAAAACUCUUCCGCAACUUCCAGUGGGAAAUUAGGUUUCUCGUUUUCCAACCCAACAUGCUUUGCACGGCCAAAUAGUACAACUAGCGAACAACAAAGAGUUGUAGGAGCCACAGGGAGGAAGAUGUUGGAGGGGGCGCAUCGCAACCCAGCAUCUGACUCUAAUCCCUGACGGGGAAGGUUAGAAAGGAGCCCGGGGAAAAGUGCCCGGAAGGGCCGGGAUAGGGAGGGAGGGAUGGGGCCGACCGUCUGUUAGCUACCCCCGCACAACCCAGGCGAAGGAGGGGCGGCAAGUGGCCGGCCCAGCCCAGGGCAGUCCGGGGAUGUCCGGGACGCCGCUGGGUGUAGCCCCGGCGGGCGGACGGGCGGGGGGAGCCCGCGGAGGCCCGGCCGGCUCCACCUGUGGCCGGGGGAAGGGGGGCCCACGUGUGCCCGAGAGGGAUCCCCGGGGAGGGGGCGCCCGGCCGGGAGCGGGGAGGGAGAGGACAUGGCGCUGCUGUUACCUGGGUUCCGGCCGCCGCUGGCAGGAGGAGGCGGCGGCGGCGGCGGUCCUCUCCCGCCCCUGGGCUCGGGCGAAGUCUGGGCCGCCGCCGCGGCCUGGCACAGAGUGCGCAGCGGGCUUCCUCCCGGCCGGGCCGCCGCCGCCGCGGCCCCCGGCCUCCCUGCCCCUCCUCGGGGCCGGGCCGCCCUCCCCCUCCUCACGGGUCCGGCCGGCUCGGGCUCCCGGGCGGCCGACCCGCGGCGGGGGGCCUCUCCCAGGACGGCACCGGGCUCCGCUCACCCGCUGCGGCGCCCACCCCUUCCCGCCCCCGGGCGACGGCCGAGCGGAGGGGAGGGCGGCCGGGGCCUCGGGAGGACAGCGAGCGAGAGCGCGGACUCCGCCACCCGGGACGCUCCGUUAAGGCGACGACGACCGGGGCCGUGUUGUUGCUGCCAACUUGUCGAGGGGGGCACUGGGCAUGCGCAAACGCAGACCACAUCCGGUGGAGAAAAGAGAACUCAUCAAAGACACUUCUUGCAACAACGCACUGUGAGAAAUGAUUUGGGGGGGGCAGUCAGGAAAAUAGCCCUUUACCCCUUUCCCAACCCGACCCAAACUUCUAAAUCCAUAGACUCAGAAAUGUCCAAUCGGAACUAUCUGAAUUCCAAGAUUCCCCACUCCCCCACUAUGAAAAGAGGAGGCAAAGUUCAAUAA